RNAcentral lists this long non-coding RNA (201 nucleotides) under Nicotiana benthamiana. Its description in RNAcentral is "long non-coding RNA (NBEN_LNC029960)". Lineage: Eukaryota; Viridiplantae; Streptophyta; Magnoliopsida; Solanales; Solanaceae. The record is from RNAcentral.
GGGCUCUUCAGCUCCCUCUUCUCUCUCUUCUCAACUGUUCAUCUUCUUCAAUCAAAGGAUGUAAAAUGUUAACAUGGUAUUAGAGCGGGUAUAUUCCGAUUCUCCUCGUCAUCAGCGUUCGAUCGAUGUUACCCUCACCAAAUUCCAUCCAUGUUCCUACUAUUUUUCAGAAUCUAGGGUUUCUUAUCCGGUUAGUUUUCC